AUGGGCGAUUUGGGCUGCGGGAUCUGCCCCCUCCUGCACCUUACACCUCACCUGGCUCAUCUCGCCGGCCGAGAACUGGAUGGCUUUGGUGCCCACGGGCUGGGGAACGGGUGGGAAGAGGAGGCGGCCAACCCUGGGGAGGGAGUGGUUGGUGAGGGGGUGGGUAAUGGUGGGGGUGGCCUGAGCGGCUCUGGGUGCUCCGUCACCUCUUUUUGGUCAGGUGGUAGAUGGCAGCUGCGGCGGGGAGACCCAGCGAGAUGCUCAGAAGGAGCUGAGCCUGCCGCGCCGAGGAAGAGCGUAAGUCCCCGAGCUGGGCCACCCUGGGCGUGGGGUGGGGUGUCACCGAGAGGGCCACACUUGGGGACACAGCGCUGGCACUGUGGGUGGCAGCAGGGAUGGCUGUUGAAUGGCACCAGGGCUUGUUGUCCACAGCGCUGGCACCGUGGGUGGCAGCAGGGAUGGCUGUUGAAUGGCACCAGGGCUUGCUGUCCUGAAAUCUGGAGUGGCAUCAUCAUGGUCUCCGGCACUGCGGGGACCUGACUGCUCAUCUCCUAGGGUGCACUGGGAUGUGCUGGGGUUAACUGGGGUGUACUGGGGUGUGGUGUGCUCUGCUGUAGGUGUGUUGGGGUGUUCUAAGCAGUACUGGGAUGUACUGGGGUGUGUUGGGGCGUUCUAAGGAUUGGAGUGUACUGGGGUGUACUGGGGUGUGUUGGGUUGCUCUAAGCAGUACUGGGGUGUAUUGGGGUGUGUUGGGGUGUUCUAAGCAGGAUUGGAGUGUACUGGGAUAUACUGGGGUGUAUUGGGGUGUGUUGGGGUGCUCUAAGCAGUACUGGGGUGUAUUGGAGUACCCCGGGGUGUGGUAGGAGGCAGCAAAGCUGCCCUGGGUGUUCGUGCUGGGCCGUGCUGGGAUGCAUGGCAGGAGCGCGGGGCCGGUGUUCGGGAUGCACUGCAGCCGUACCGGCACGGUUAGGGCUGUACCGGGGCUGUACCGGGGCUGUACCGGGGCCGUACCGGGGCCGUGCAGGAGGGCUGUGCCGGGGCUGUACCGGGGCUGUACCGGGGCCGUACCGGGGCCGUGCAGGGCUUGCGGUGUUUCAGCAGCAGCAGCGCCCCGGCACAUCCCGGGAGCGGCGCGGAUCGGGGCCGGG
This 1148-nucleotide long non-coding RNA is filed under the name Ficedula albicollis (Collared flycatcher). Its description in RNAcentral is "lncRNA (ENSFALG00000028251.1)". Lineage: Eukaryota; Metazoa; Chordata; Aves; Passeriformes; Muscicapidae. The record is from RNAcentral.